Molecule: ribosomal RNA, 1277 nt
Filed under: Bacillus sp. TUTMCJ4B
Lineage: Bacteria; Bacillati; Bacillota; Bacilli; Caryophanales; Bacillaceae
Description: bacterial SSU rRNA
Rfam family: Bacterial small subunit ribosomal RNA
Source: RNAcentral
GUCGAGCGGACAGAUGGGAGCUUGCUCCCUGAUGUUAGCGGCGGACGGGUGAGUAACACGUGGGUAACCUGCCUGUAAGACUGGGAUAACUCCGGGAAACCGGGGCUAAUACCGGAUGGUUGUUUGAACCGCAUGGUUCAAACAUAAAAGGUGGCUUCGGCUACCACUUACAGAUGGACCCGCGGCGCAUUAGCUAGUUGGUGAGGUAACGGCUCACCAAGGCAACGAUGCGUAGCCGACCUGAGAGGGUGAUCGGCCACACUGGGACUGAGACACGGCCCAGACUCCUACGGGAGGCAGCAGUAGGGAAUCUUCCGCAAUGGACGAAAGUCUGACGGAGCAACGCCGCGUGAGUGAUGAAGGUUUUCGGAUCGUAAAGCUCUGUUGUUAGGGAAGAACAAGUACCGUUCGAAUAGGGCGGUACCUUGACGGUACCUAACCAGAAAGCCACGGCUAACUACGUGCCAGCAGCCGCGGUAAUACGUAGGUGGCAAGCGUUGUCCGGAAUUAUUGGGCGUAAAGGGCUCGCAGGCGGUUUCUUAAGUCUGAUGUGAAAGCCCCCGGCUCAACCGGGGAGGGUCAUUGGAAACUGGGGAACUUGAGUGCAGAAGAGGAGAGUGGAAUUCCACGUGUAGCGGUGAAAUGCGUAGAGAUGUGGAGGAACACCAGUGGCGAAGGCGACUCUCUGGUCUGUAACUGACGCUGAGGAGCGAAAGCGUGGGGAGCGAACAGGAUUAGAUACCCUGGUAGUCCACGCCGUAAACGAUGAGUGCUAAGUGUUAGGGGGUUUCCGCCCCUUAGUGCUGCAGCUAACGCAUUAAGCACUCCGCCUGGGGAGUACGGUCGCAAGACUGAAACUCAAAGGAAUUGACGGGGGCCCGCACAAGCGGUGGAGCAUGUGGUUUAAUUCGAAGCAACGCGAAGAACCUUACCAGGUCUUGACAUCCUCUGACAAUCCUAGAAAAUAGGACGUCCCCUUCGGGGGCAAAAUGACAAGUGGUGCAUGGUUGUCGUCAGCUCCUGUCCUGGAGAUGUUGGGUUAAGUCCCGCAACGAGCGCAACCCUUGAUCUUAGUUGCCAGCAUUCAGUUGGGCACUCUAAGGUGACUGCCGGUGACAACCCGAAGGAAGGUGGGGAUGACGUCAAAUCAUCAUGCCCCUUAUGACCUGGGCUACCACCUGGUUCAAUGGACAGAACAAAGGGACCGAAACCCCGAGGUAAACCAACCCCCAAAACUUGUUCCAUUUCGGAACGAGUUCCGCACCCCACUCGGGGAA